RNAcentral lists this small RNA (981 nucleotides) under Pan troglodytes (chimpanzee). RNAcentral describes it as "retained intron". Lineage: Eukaryota; Metazoa; Chordata; Mammalia; Primates; Hominidae. The record is from RNAcentral.
CCAGUUCCCUGUCUGUGUGUCCGCUCGCCCUCUGCUCCGUCCUGCCGCUGCCCACUGCCCUCCUACGGUCCACCAUGGCCCUGCUGCACUCCGGCCGCGUCCUCCCCGGGAUCGCCGCCGCCUUCCACCCGGGCCUCGCCGCCGCGGCCUCUGCCAGAGCCAGCUCCUGGUGGACCCAUGUGGAAAUGGGACCUCCAGAUCCCAUUCUGGGAGUCACUGAAGCCUUUAAGAGGGACACCAAUAGCAAAAAGAUGAAUCUGGGAGUUGGUGCCUACCGGGAUGAUAACGGAAAGCCUUACGUGCUGCCUAGCGUCCGCAAGGCAGAGGCCCAGAUUGCCGCAAAAAAUUUGGACAAGGAAUACCUGCCCAUUGGGGGACUGGCUGAAUUUUGCAAGGCAUCUGCAGAACUAGCCCUGGGUGAGAACAGCGAAGUCUUGAAGAGUGGCCGGUUUGUCACUGUGCAGACCAUUUCUGGAACUGGAGCCUUAAGGAUCGGAGCCAGUUUUCUGCAAAGAUUUUUUAAGUUCAGCCGAGAUGUCUUUCUGCCCAAACCAACCUGGGGAAACCACACACCCAUCUUCAGGGAUGCUGGCAUGCAGCUACAAGGUUAUCGGUAUUAUGACCCCAAGACUUGCGGUUUUGACUUCACAGGCGCUGUGGAGGAUAUUUCAGUAAGUGUGGCUUUCAGGGUGAGAGAGGUGAAUAAAACUCCUUGCUUGUGGACAUUUGAUGUCUCCCACCGUGUCCCAGUAUCUGAGUUAAAAUACUGGGGAAGAGCUGAUUCCCAGGCUUCUGGUUACCUUUGUUACUUAUCAAAUGAUGACGAUCCUGUGGCAUUUCAGAUAAACCGUUUCCUUUAAAGCUGCAAAGUCGUCUCUUGGCUGUUUUUCUCUUUAGAAAAUACCAGAGCAGAGUGUUCUUCUUCUGCAUGCCUGCGCCCACAAUCCCACAGGAGUGGACCCGCGUCCGGAACAGUGGAAG